RNAcentral lists this ribosomal RNA (381 nucleotides) under uncultured Syndiniales. RNAcentral's name for it is "SSU rRNA". It matches the Rfam family "Eukaryotic small subunit ribosomal RNA", at positions 634 to 1018 of the family's 1831-position model. Lineage: Eukaryota; Dinophyceae; Syndiniales. The record is from RNAcentral.
UUGGAGUUUCUGCCAGGUGGCGCUCGUCCGCCCAAGUGGUGUGUACAGGGCGUGCACCUGGCCCUUUCAAGGGGAACGUGUCUCCUUUAAAAUGUGUGGUGCGAGAUCCUUGACUUUUACUUUGAGGAAAUAAGAGUGUUCCAAGCAGGCUCUCGUCGUCCCUAGGUCAGCAUGGAAUAAUAGCAUUGGACUUCGUUUCUACGCUGUUGGUUGCAAGAAGCGAGGUAAUGAUGAAGAGGGAUAGUUGGGGGCAUUCGUAUUUAACUGUCAGAGGUGAAAUUCUUGGAUUUGUUAAAGACGGACUACUGUUUUUGCAUCUGCCAUGGAUGUUUUCAUUGAUCAAGAACGAAAGUUAGGGGAUCGAAGACGAUCAGAUACCGU